GAUGAAGAACGUAGCGAAAUGCGAUAAGUAAUGUGAAUUGCAGAAUUCCGUGAAUCAUCGAAUCUUUGAACGCACAUUGCGCCCCCUGGUAUUCCGGGGGGCAUGCCUGUCCGAGCGUCAUUGCAACCCUCAAGCGCGGCUUGUGUGUUGGGCUUCGUCCCCCCGUGGACGUGCCCGAAAGGCAGUGGCGGCGUCCCGAAUGGUGCCCGAGCGUAUGGGAACUCUCUUCCGCUCGAACCGGCCCAUUCGGCGCUGGUCGAACCCCAAUUUUUUACCGGUUGACCUCGGAUCAGGUAGGGAUACCCGCUGAACUUAAGCAUAUCAAUAAGCGGAGGA
This 336-nucleotide unclassified non-coding RNA is filed under the name soil metagenome. RNAcentral's name for it is "partial contains 5.8S ribosomal RNA, internal transcribed spacer 2, and large subunit ribosomal RNA". The stretch from base 1 to 120 matches the Rfam family "5.8S ribosomal RNA", at positions 35 to 154 of the family's 154-position model. The record is from RNAcentral.